GAAAGGCUUUUUGAAGUCUUCGGAUGGAUAGAAGAACCCCUGAUGCCGUCGAGCCAAGAAAAGUUUCUAAGUUUAGCUAAUGUUGCCCGUACCGUAAACCGACACAGGUGGGUGGGAUGAGUAUUCUAAGGCGCGUGGAAGAACUCUCUUUAAGGAACUCUGCAAAAUAGCACCGUAUCUUCGGUAUAAGGUGUGGUUAGCUUUGUAUUAGGAUUUACUCCGAAAGCAAGGAAACUUACAACAAAGAGUCCCUCCCGACUGUUUACCAAAAACACAGCACUCUGCUAACUCGUAAGAGGAUGUAUAGGGUGUGACGCCUGCCCGGUGCUCGAAGGUUAAUUGAUGGGGUUAGCAUUAGCGAAGCUCUUGAUCGAAGCCCGAGUAAACGGCGGCCGUAACUAUAACGGUCCUAAGGUAGCGAAAUUCCUUGUCGGUUAAAUACCGACCUGCAUGAAUGGCGUAACGAGAUGGGAGCUGUCUCAAAGAGGGAUCCAGUGAAAUUGUAGUGGAGGUGAAAAUUCCUCCUACCCGCGGCAAGACGGAAAGACCCCGUGGACCUU
RNAcentral lists this ribosomal RNA (560 nucleotides) under Campylobacter jejuni. RNAcentral's name for it is "partial 23S ribosomal RNA". It matches the Rfam family "Bacterial large subunit ribosomal RNA", at positions 1556 to 2101 of the family's 2925-position model. The record is from RNAcentral. Lineage: Bacteria; Pseudomonadati; Campylobacterota; Epsilonproteobacteria; Campylobacterales; Campylobacteraceae.